This is a non-coding RNA of Caenorhabditis elegans, 84 nucleotides long. The record is from Ensembl. NCBI's taxonomy places the organism in Eukaryota, Metazoa, Nematoda, Chromadorea, Rhabditida, Rhabditidae.
UGUCGUAAGCCUCGUGGUGUUUGCGUACUUUUGGCGCUACAGUAUCCCUUGAAAUUUUAAAUUUUGAGUUAGACGUCCAGAAAA